UAUAUACGGCUGUGAUUAUAAUCGAAGAGAAUUCUCACAGGUAGACUUUGGGUGUAUCUGAGUGUAUGUACAUAAUUUCGUCAGUCAUUUCAUAAAGAUUCCAUUUAUUGAAGUUCGUUUUUACAUGUUCUUGGUUUAGUGUAAAAUGUUUGAGCUGGUAAAUAGCCUCGUCCCGAACCAUCCUGUUCUCGCGAGUUUACAUACACUGUUUCGUUAAUGUAAGCUCGCGAGAUCUGGAUGAUUUGGACGAGGCAAGUCAAAUGGCGGCUUCAACGGUUUCGGUCGUCUUUCUUGGAGUUUGCUCGUGGUGAAAUGGCGACAUGAGGCUGUGUGAUGAAGUGUCAAAAUAGAGGGAAGCUAACUGAAGUUAUCCUUCACCAGUUGGAGAGAGAGGCCAACUGCAUGGAAUGGCGUCGAUUAAUGCGAAUGAAUCGGUUCAGACCGACUCAGAUUCAGUCUGAGGCCGGUAACAUCAACAGUGAGGACAAUCCCAGCCUGCCACUCUUCCUUCCACACUGAGUAGAAACCUACAGUCACUGGGUCCUGAUUGUGACAGUGGAGCCCAGUUUGCACUGCAGGAUCCAGAGAUGGCAUCAGUGAAGCUAGAAGACUGCAGUCAAACACUGGAGCUGAAUGUCAACAUUAAAGAUGAAGAAGAGGAGGAGAAGAUUGGGACAACUGUUAGUCAUGGAUACCACGUUGAGACAUUCUCUACACCCAGAGACCAACAGCAGGAAGAUCAGAGAGCUAAGAGGUCUCAUCACUGCCCACAUUGUGAAGAGAUUUUCCCAUUUCUAUCAAAGCUAAAAAUACACCUAAAAAUACACACAGGGGAGAAGCCUUACUCCUGCUCUGACUGUGGAGCAAGUUUAUCUCAAAUGAGCAGCUUAAAAGCACACAAACAAGUACAUACUGGAGAGAAGCCUUACUCCUGCUCUGACUGUGGGGUGAGUUUCUCUCGACUGGAUACCUUAAAAACACACCAACGUAUCCAUACAGGAGAAAAGCCUUACUCCUGUUCUGACUGUUUAAAAUGCUUCAAAACAUCAACGGUGCUAAAACUUCACCAGAGAACACACACAGGAGAGAAGCCUUUCAUCUGCUCUGACUGUGGGGUGAGUUUCUCUCGACGGGAUACCUUAAAAACACACCAACGUAUCCAUACAGGAGAAAAGCCUUACUACUGCCCUGACUGUGGGGAGAGAUUCUCUCAACUGAGCAGCUUAAAAGCACACAAACAAGUACAUACUGGAGAGAAGCCUUACUCCUGCUCUGAAAGUGGGGCAAGUUUUUCUCGACUGGAUACCUUAACACACCAACGUAUCCAUACAGGAGAAAAGCCUUACUCCUGUUCUGACUGUGGGGAGAGAUUCUCUCAACUGAGCAGCUUAAAAGCACACAAACAAGUACACACUGGAGAGAAGCCUUACUCCU
Long non-coding RNA from Oncorhynchus masou masou (cherry salmon), 1434 nucleotides. RefSeq lists it as uncharacterized. The record is from RefSeq and is a predicted model, not a curated record. The transcript is spliced from 3 exons. Lineage: Eukaryota; Metazoa; Chordata; Actinopteri; Salmoniformes; Salmonidae.